RNAcentral lists this ribosomal RNA (638 nucleotides) under Cellulosimicrobium sp. Its description in RNAcentral is "bacterial SSU rRNA". It matches the Rfam family "Bacterial small subunit ribosomal RNA", at positions 164 to 817 of the family's 1533-position model. Lineage: Bacteria; Bacillati; Actinomycetota; Actinomycetes; Micrococcales; Promicromonosporaceae. The record is from RNAcentral.
UAAUACUGGAUAUGAGCCGUCCUCGCAUGGGGGUGGUUGGAAAGUUUUUCGGUCAGGGAUGGGCUCGCGGCCUAUCAGCUUGUUGGUGGGGUGAUGGCCUACCAAGGCGACGACGGGUAGCCGGCCUGAGAGGGCGACCGGCCACACUGGGACUGAGACACGGCCCAGACUCCUACGGGAGGCAGCAGUGGGGAAUAUUGCACAAUGGGCGCAAGCCUGAUGCAGCGACGCCGCGUGAGGGAUGAAGGCCUUCGGGUUGUAAACCUCUUUCAGCAGGGAAGAAGCGCAAGUGACGGUACCUGCAGAAGAAGCGCCGGCUAACUACGUGCCAGCAGCCGCGGUAAUACGUAGGGCGCAAGCGUUGUCCGGAAUUAUUGGGCGUAAAGAGCUCGUAGGCGGUUUGUCGCGUCUGGUGUGAAAACUCGAGGCUCAACCUCGAGCUUGCAUCGGGUACGGGCAGACUAGAGUGCGGUAGGGGAGACUGGAAUUCCUGGUGUAGCGGUGGAAUGCGCAGAUAUCAGGAGGAACACCGAUGGCGAAGGCAGGUCUCUGGGCCGCAACUGACGCUGAGGAGCGAAAGCAUGGGGAGCGAACAGGAUUAGAUACCCUGGUAGUCCAUGCCGUAAACGUUGGGCACU